UACAGAGGGUGCAAGCGUUAAUCGGAAUUACUGGGCGUAAAGCGCGCGUAGGUGGUUUGGUAAGUUGGAUGUGAAAUCCCCGGGCUCAACCUGGGAAUUGCAUUCAAAACUGCCAGGCUAGAGUAUGGUAGAGGAAAGCGGAAUUCCAGGUGUAGCGGUGAAAUGCGUAGAUAUCUGGAGGAACAUCAGUGGCGAAGGCGGCUUUCUGGACUAAUACUGACACUGAGGUGCGAAAGCGUGGGGAGCAAACAGG
RNAcentral lists this ribosomal RNA (253 nucleotides) under uncultured bacterium. RNAcentral's name for it is "partial 16S ribosomal RNA". It matches the Rfam family "Bacterial small subunit ribosomal RNA", at positions 524 to 776 of the family's 1533-position model. The record is from RNAcentral.